UGUUUUGAACUUAGCUUUCCUCCUUUAGAC
This 30-nucleotide non-coding RNA is filed under the name Mus musculus (house mouse). Lineage: Eukaryota; Metazoa; Chordata; Mammalia; Rodentia; Muridae. The record is from RNAcentral.